UUCCGGUUGAUCCUGCCGGAGGCCAUUGCUAUCGGGGUCCGAUUUAGCCAUGCUAGUCGCACGGGUUCAGACCCGUGGCGAAAAGCUCAGUGACACGUGGCCAAACUACCCUGUGGAUCGGGACAACCUCGGGAAACUGAGGCUAAUCCCGAAUAGGGCUCACAGCCUGGAGUGGCGUGAGUCCGAAACGCUCCAGCGCCACAGGAUGUGGCUGCGGCCGAUUAGGUUGACGGUGGGGUAACGGCCCACCGUGCCCAUAAUCGGUACNAGUUGUGAGAGCAAGAGCCCGGAGACGGUAUCUGAGACAAGAUACCGAGUCAUAUGGGGCGUAGCAGGCGCGAAACCUUUACACUGCGCGAGAGCGAGAUAAGUGGACCACGAGUGCGAGGGCAUAUAGUCCUCGCUCUUCUGGACUGUAGGGAGGUCCAAGAAUAAGGGCUGGUCAAGACCGGUGCCAGCCGCCGCGGUAAUACCGGCAGCCCGAGUGAUGNCCGAUUUUA
This 500-nucleotide ribosomal RNA is filed under the name uncultured Halorhabdus sp. RNAcentral's name for it is "bacterial SSU rRNA". It matches the Rfam family "Archaeal small subunit ribosomal RNA", at positions 1 to 503 of the family's 1478-position model. Lineage: Archaea; Methanobacteriati; Methanobacteriota; Halobacteria; Halobacteriales; Haloarculaceae. The record is from RNAcentral.